This is a small nucleolar RNA of Andrographis paniculata, 107 nucleotides long. Lineage: Eukaryota; Viridiplantae; Streptophyta; Magnoliopsida; Lamiales; Acanthaceae. The record is from RefSeq and is a predicted model, not a curated record.
AUUUCAUGUUGUGGACAUUUAAUGACAAGCUUAUUAAAUCGUUCCCAAUAUUCAUAGAGUAUUUCAUCUAAUUAUUGUUUGAUGCCACAUAUUUCCUUCUUCAGAAU